CCUGAGAAACGGCUACCACAUCCAAGGAAGGCAGCAGGCUCGCAAAUUACCCACUCCCAGCACGGGGAGGUAGUGACGAAAAAUAACGAUACGGGACUCAUCCGAGGCCCCGUAAUCGGAAUGAGUACACUUUAAAUCCUUAUACAAGGAACAAUUGGAGGGCAAGUCUGGUGCCAGCAGCUGCGGUAAUUCCAGCUCCAAUAGCGUAUAUUAAAGUUGUUGCGGUUAAAAAGCUCGAUGUUGAAUUUGUAUUCCAUACUGUUGGUACACCGCUCGCUGCUUAACUAGCACGUCUAGGAAUGUYUUACCGGUGGUAUCAUGUUCACCCCACGAUUUGUAGUAAACUACUAGUGCGAAUGGUGACUGACCCAAAUUAUAAAUCCUAUUGCGGUGCUCUUAAUCGAGUGUCGUUAUAGGCCGGUACGUUUACUUUGAACAAAUUAGAGUGCUUAAAGCAGGCUAAUCUCGCCUGUAUAUUAUGUGCAUGGAAUAAUAAAAUAGGACCUCGGUGCUAUUUUGUUGGUUUUCGGAAUUCCGAGGUAAUGAUUAAUAGAGACAACUGGGGGCAUUCGUAUUGCGACGUUAGAGGUGAAAUUCUUGGACCGUCGCAAGACGUACAUAAGCGAAAGCAUUUGCCAAAUGUGUUUUCAUCAAUCAAGAACGAAAGUUAGAGGUUCGAAGGCGAUCAGAUACCGCCCUAGUUCUAACCAUAAACGAUGCCAACUAGCGAUCCGCCGAAGUCCCUAUGUUGACUCGGUGGGCAGCUUCUGGGAAACCAAAGUUUUUGGGUUCCGGGGGAAGUAUGGUUGCAAAGCUGAAACUUAAAGGAAUUGACGGAAGGGCACCACCAGGAGUGGAGCCUGCGGCUUAAUUUGACUCAACACGGGAAACCUCACCAGGCCCAGACACUGGAAGGAUUGACAGAUUAAGAGCUCUUUCUUGAUUCAGUGGUUGGUGGUGCAUGGCCGUUCUUAGUUGGUGGAGUGAUUUGUCUGGUUAAUUCCGAUAACGAACGAGACUC
Molecule: ribosomal RNA, 1021 nt
Filed under: Bittacus strigosus
Lineage: Eukaryota; Metazoa; Arthropoda; Insecta; Mecoptera; Bittacidae
Description: SSU rRNA
Rfam family: Eukaryotic small subunit ribosomal RNA
Source: RNAcentral